RNAcentral lists this ribosomal RNA (396 nucleotides) under uncultured bacterium. Its description in RNAcentral is "partial 16S ribosomal RNA". It matches the Rfam family "Bacterial small subunit ribosomal RNA", at positions 523 to 918 of the family's 1533-position model. The record is from RNAcentral.
AUACGUAGGGGGCAAGCGUUAUCCGGAUUUACUGGGAGUAAAGGGAGCGUAGACGGUAAAGCAAGUCUGAAGUGAAAGCUCGGGGCUCAACCCCGGAACUGCUUUGGAAACUGUUUUACUGGAGUGCAGGAGAGUUAAGCGGAAUUCCUAGUGUUGCGGUGAAAUGCGUAGAAAUUAGGAGGAACACCAGAGGUGAAGGCGGCUUACUGGACUGUAACUGACGUUGAGGCUCGAAGGCGUUGGGAGCAAACAGGAUUAGAUACCCUGGUAGUCCACGCGGUAAACGAUGAUCAAUAGGUGUCGGCGGCCAUAGGCGGUCGGUGCCGCAGCAAACGCAAUAAGUGAUCCACCUGGGGAGUACGUUCGCAAGAAUGAAACUUAAAGGAAUUGACGGGG